UCCUUGCUCCCUUUAAUCAGGGACCGCGCAACUCUGAAGCCAAUUUGAGGGGGCUCCCAGCGCAGCUGCGUCCGGAGCGGUAUGCCCAGAACACGUGAUUUGUCAUCAUUUUGAAGUUUGUAAAUCAACUUUUCUGUUUGAGCCGUUCCA
Molecule: non-coding RNA, 150 nt
Organism: Caenorhabditis elegans
Lineage: Eukaryota; Metazoa; Nematoda; Chromadorea; Rhabditida; Rhabditidae
Source: Ensembl